This 766-nucleotide long non-coding RNA is filed under the name Homo sapiens (human). Its description in RNAcentral is "non-protein coding lnc-DACT1-2:1". Lineage: Eukaryota; Metazoa; Chordata; Mammalia; Primates; Hominidae. The record is from RNAcentral.
GUGGCCAGCAACGUUGCCGACAAGACGGAUCCUCACUCCAUGAACUCCCGUGUGUUCAUUGGGAAUCUCAACACUCUUGUGCUCCAGAAAUCUGAUGUGGAGGCAGUCUUUUCAAAGUAUUGCAAAAUUGUGGGCUGCUCUGUUCAUAAGGGCUUUGCCUUUGUUUAGUAUGUUAAUGAGAGAAAUGCCCGGGCCGCUGUAGGUGGAGAUGUACAGCUCCUCUUUUGACUUGGACCAUGACUUUCAACGGGAUUAUUAUGAUAGGAUGUACAGUUACCCAGCACAUGUUCCUCCUCCUCCUAUUGCUCGGGCUGUAGUGCCCUCGAAAUGUCAGCAUGUAUCAGGAAACAUGAAGGGGAAAAAGUGGCUUCAAUUCUAAGAGAGGACAGCGGGGAUCUUCCAAGUCUGGAAAGUUGAAAGGAGAUGACCUUCAGGCCAUUAAGAAGGAAUUGACCCAGAUAAAACAAAAAGUGGAUUCUCUCUUAGAAAACCUAGAAGAAAAUUGAAAAGGAACAGGGGAAACAAGCAGUAGAGAUGAAGGAUGAUAAGUCGGAAGAGGAGCAGAGCAGUAGUUCCAUGAAGAAAGAUGAGACUAAUGUGAAGGUGGAGUCGGAGCGGGGUGCAGAUGACUUUGCUGAGGAGGACCUACUAGAUGAUGAUGACAAUGAAGAUGGGGGAUGACCAGCUGGAGUUGAUCAAGGAUGAUGAAAAAGAGGCUGAAGAAGGAGAGGAUGACAGAGACAGCACCAAUGGCGAAGAUAACUCU